Molecule: small nucleolar RNA, 106 nt
Organism: Beta vulgaris subsp. vulgaris (sugar beet)
Lineage: Eukaryota; Viridiplantae; Streptophyta; Magnoliopsida; Caryophyllales; Amaranthaceae
Source: Rfam
UUAAAUAAUGUGCACUUGUUGUAAAUAUGGACGAACAUUCAAGUUGUUGGGUGGUAAUUGGUAUUGCAUUAGUGUGGCAAUCCUUGAUAAUAGCCAACAUACACGG